RNAcentral lists this transfer RNA (44 nucleotides) under Capra hircus (goat). Its description in RNAcentral is "partial tRNA-Pro". Lineage: Eukaryota; Metazoa; Chordata; Mammalia; Artiodactyla; Bovidae. The record is from RNAcentral.
UUCAGCUUUGGGUGCUGAUAGUGAGGCUAUGGCUUCUUCCUUGA